This is a small nuclear RNA of Pongo abelii (Sumatran orangutan), 107 nucleotides long. Lineage: Eukaryota; Metazoa; Chordata; Mammalia; Primates; Hominidae. The record is from Ensembl.
GUGCUCAUUUCAGCAGCACAUAUAUUCAAAUUGGAAUGAUACAGAGAAAAUUAGCAUGGUUCCUGGACAUGGAUGACAUGCAAAAUCGUGAAGCAUUUUGUUUUCAA